Molecule: transfer RNA, 68 nt
Filed under: Sinosolenaia oleivora
Lineage: Eukaryota; Metazoa; Mollusca; Bivalvia; Unionida; Unionidae
Description: tRNA-Gln
Source: RNAcentral
UGACGGCUAGUGUAACUCUGCACAUGUAAAUUUGGAUUACAAGGAGGAACAACUACGUCCGCCCUCAC